CGAAUGCCCGCCUGUCAUUUUGCUCGAACCAGAGUUAUUCUUGGCGUCAUCCAUCUGUCGAAGGAUGUUUGCUAGGUUGGUGAGCAAAGUUUCAGGUGUGCUUUGGC
Molecule: non-coding RNA, 107 nt
Organism: Hydatigera taeniaeformis
Lineage: Eukaryota; Metazoa; Platyhelminthes; Cestoda; Cyclophyllidea; Taeniidae
Source: Rfam